This 945-nucleotide long non-coding RNA is filed under the name Pongo abelii (Sumatran orangutan). RNAcentral describes it as "lincRNA". The record is from RNAcentral. Lineage: Eukaryota; Metazoa; Chordata; Mammalia; Primates; Hominidae.
GAGAGUAGAGAGUGACAGGUAAGGGCUCUGAACCUUCCUGCGUGCUGCCCAAGGAGUGCCUAGGGCUACCAAGAGGCCCAGGGAGGAACCUUGAGACCUGACUGGGAAAGGCUUUUCUUCCCCGAGAGGACCACUGCUCAGGCUCAGAGGCCAUGGGGUGAAGUGCACACAAAAGUAGGUGUCCAGCCAUGCUCUAAACCCCCCGAAGAUGAAGACCAGGGAGCAGCUUCCUCCAAUGAAGCAGCAGCAAUCAGAGGACCAGGAGGCUGAAGCCCUGAGCCCAGCCAGAGGCAGGAUCAGCCAAGUCUGGAACAGGCUUUAAUUAUUUUAGGCAGAGCUUCUGGUUACUGGGCCUUCAGACUUGGACUAGAACUUCACUACCAGCUUUCCUGGGUCUCCAGCUUGCAGAGAGCAGAUUGCAGAACUUCUUAGCCUCCAUAAUCACGACGUGUUUGCUUCCCCUUCCACCAUGAUUGUAAAUUUCCUGAGGCCUCCCCAGUCCUGCGGAACUGCUUUGAAGAAGACCACUGCGUUGGUAUUUGUGAAAUGUUUUGAGCCUCUAGAUUUAAAUAAGCUCCCGCCCCCACCCAGGCCUGCUCAGAAGAACCCAAGCCACUCAGAAGCAGGAGGCAGCCUUCACCCCAACCAGAUCCAUAUCCAUUCCAGACUCAGGAUUACAACAAUUUGGGAGAGGGUCAACCAAGUCAGAGUCCCACAUGGCAGAAGAGCUGCUUUAGCUUAAGACUCUUAACUCUUUUUCCUCGGGGCAGGAAAGGUUUGAGCCAAUGAAGGAUGAGGCUUUCCAGGCCCAGGACACAACCUUGAUCCAAGGCCUAGUUGUGGCUUUAAUUUUUGUAAAUCAAGCCUCAAGUUUUUCUUCACUCUUUUAGCCAAAGAUAUGUUUCCCAGGAUGCAUGAAAUAAAUAUAUAAAAUGUACCAAAUUA